This 978-nucleotide ribosomal RNA is filed under the name Triticum aestivum (bread wheat). RNAcentral describes it as "partial small subunit ribosomal RNA". The record is from RNAcentral. Lineage: Eukaryota; Viridiplantae; Streptophyta; Magnoliopsida; Poales; Poaceae.
AUGGAAGUAACCCACAGCCAGUUUUCUUCAUAUGUGGCAUGGUACAAACAAUAUGAGAAUUCACGGCACGGUUCUGAGGCAGUACCAGCGAUGGUCAAAAUACCUUACAGGAUGAUGUUGGAUGUUCUUUUAGAGACUCUGGGCCUUCCACCAGCUGAGUACCGAACCAGAGUAUAUGAUGGCAGCAGGGUGUGUGUGACAAUAUUGUUCCAUACACCCACAUCAUAUGUUGGGAAUGAUAGGAAUCGAAUGGCUAUUCCCGAGGUACAAUUUGUUGAUCAUUCUAUGUCAGAAGACAGUGCUGCUAUGGAAGCAAUUGGGUACAUUAAAUGCACAGUGAAGACAGAGAUAAGAGACUAUAAUUACAGCACCAUGAAGAAACUCGAGGAGGAAAAUCGGUCUCUAAAACAUGAGCUUAAUAUAGCUAGGUACAACAAGAAGAAAAUGAAGACAAAAAUCAGAUCCAUCAAGAACAAGCUAAUGAUUGCUACAUAUGAGAAGAAGCAAAAUGCUAUGGGCUGGUUCGUCUUAACAAGCACACAUGGGAUCAAGGGCCUCUACGCCAUUUGGCGCAACGGGUCAACUGGAGCAUACCCGACCCGACCCAACCAAGCAGCUGAGCAUCCGCUUCUCCUCUCUCGCUCGAUUCGAUUCGAUUCGAGUGCCCCAACCCAAACCGGCCGGCCGCCGCCGCCGCCGCCGAUCUCCUCUCCCCCAACCCUACCGGCGACCUCGUCUCCUCCAGCCCUCCACCACACCACACCGCCCUCUCCUCCUCCCGACUCCUUCUCUUCUCUCCCCUUCCCUUCCCUUCCCAGGGAGAGGGAGGGAUGCCCCAGAUCCACCUCCGCAGCAGCUCGGGCCGCGGCAACCACGCGCCGGCAGAGGACGACUACUCCCACCGCCACCGCGUCCUCCGCCUUCCAACCCCAUGGCCGCCCGCCCCGUCCAACCUCCAUGGCUGUCCCGAAACCCUAG